This 422-nucleotide ribosomal RNA is filed under the name uncultured Chitinophaga sp. RNAcentral describes it as "bacterial SSU rRNA". It matches the Rfam family "Bacterial small subunit ribosomal RNA", at positions 355 to 774 of the family's 1533-position model. The record is from RNAcentral. Lineage: Bacteria; Pseudomonadati; Bacteroidota; Chitinophagia; Chitinophagales; Chitinophagaceae.
UAAGGAAUAUUGGUCAAUGGACGCAAGUCUGAACCAGCCAUGCCGCGUGGAGGAUGAAGGUCCUCUGGAUUGUAAACUUCUUUUAUCUGGGAAGAAAUGAUUUUUUUCUAAAGGUCUUGACGGUACCAGAUGAAUAAGCACCGGCUAACUCCGUGCCAGCAGCCGCGGUAAUACGGAGGGUGCAAGCGUUAUCCGGAUUCACUGGGUUUAAAGGGUGCGUAGGUGGACUUGUAAGUCCGUUGUGAAAUCUCCGAGCUUAACUCGGAAAUUGCGGUGGAUACUAUAAGUCUUGAAUACUGUGGAGGUUAGCGGAAUAUGUCAUGUAGCGGUGAAAUGCAUAGAUAUGACAUAGAACACCAAUUGCGAAGGCAGCUGGCUACACAGAUAUUGACACUGAGGCACGAAAGCGUGGGGAUCAAACA